RNAcentral lists this ribosomal RNA (478 nucleotides) under uncultured Bacteroidota bacterium. Its description in RNAcentral is "bacterial SSU rRNA". It matches the Rfam family "Bacterial small subunit ribosomal RNA", at positions 28 to 504 of the family's 1533-position model. The record is from RNAcentral. Lineage: Bacteria; Pseudomonadati; Bacteroidota.
GAUGAACGCUAGCGGGAGGCCUAACACAUGCAAGCCGAGCGGUAGAAAAUAGCUUGCUAUUUUUGAGAGCGGCGCACGGGUGCGGAACACGUGUGCAACCUACCUUUAUCAGGGGGAUAGCCUUUCGAAAGGAAGAUUAAUACCCCAUAAUAUUUAGAAUGGCAUCAUUUUAAAUUGAAAACUCCGGUGGAUAGAGAUGGGCACGCGCAAGAUUAGAUAGUUGGUGAGGUAACGGCUCACCAAGUCAAUGAUCUUUAGGGGGCCUGAGAGGGUGAUCCCCCACACUGGUACUGAGACACGGACCAGACUCCUACGGGAGGCAGCAGUGAGGAAUAUUGGACAAUGGGUGAGAGCCUGAUCCAGCCAUCCCGCGUGAAGGACGACUGCCCUAUGGGUUGUAAACUUCUUUUGUACAGGGAUAAACCUAGAUACGUGUAUCUAGCUGAAGGUACUGUACGAAUAAGCACCGGCUAACUCC